Long non-coding RNA from Ictalurus punctatus (channel catfish), 1108 nucleotides. Lineage: Eukaryota; Metazoa; Chordata; Actinopteri; Siluriformes; Ictaluridae. The record is from Ensembl.
UUGAGAUAAUUGGCUAUGGUCUAGGUGAGUGCACUACCUGCUCAAACAGGCUUCGGAUCACACACGAGCAGCUUACUGGUUGCUAUUCUGAACAAAGAUGUCAUUAGGAAGUUGCUGAUCUUGUAUGAUGGUAGUGGAAAAUAAAGACAUCUAUAGGUCUGAAAACUGCCAUUUCACCGAACUGAAGAGGUGGUAGGUAAUAUAGUACCUGUGGAAAGUUUGUAAAUCCAGCUUUACACUGCAAAUUUAGGCCCAAUUUUGCUGUCGCAGACAAAAAUGGUAUGUCUUAAAAAUAUUUGGGGAUCAUGAGUUGAGAAUGGAAGUCUUAGGACACACAAUGUGAUGUGUUUACCUGCAGCUGAUUUAGUGUCACUAUGAUUACUAAAAAAGCAUAUGACUUUGUAAGAAAAUUUAUUAAUUUCUGCUCGUGACUGCUGCUAUGACGCUCAUCUAAAAGCGACUGAUCAAAGGACCGCAUAGGUGUCACGAAUCGUGACGGAGCAGAGAUAGGACGGAUGCAAGUGCAGGAUGAACAGUUGUUUAUUUGAAAGACAGACAGACAAAUCCAAAACGUGAUCCAAAACGUAAUCCAUAAACAUGCAAGAGGUCAGGCGAUUGGCAAACAGGCAUACACGGGGCAAGGCAGGAAUCUAGGUCGUGGUCACGGAAAACAGGGUCGAUAAACAAAACAAGAAACGAACUAUGACGAGGGACUGGAAGCGGAUAAUCCGGCGCGAACUAACUCUAAACAUGGACCGUGACUAUGACUAUGAUACGAGCUAAACUAACUCUAAACAUUUACUCUUCCGCGUUGUGUGCUGGGAGGCACGCCGUAUAUAUGCGGACAUAAUCAGCGUCUAAACCGCUAGCAGCUGAGAGCAAUUCAGACCCACGUGAAAUCCCAGCCAAUGACAGAACAGGGAGGUGACAGAAACAUAAACAAAACACACGUGUCCAGAUGUCAUUACAACCCACGUGAAAUCCCAGCCAAUGACAGAACAGGGAGGAGACAGCAACAUAAACAAAACACACGUGUCCAGAUGUCAUUACAGUCAACAACGGAAAAGCAGGUGCUCGCGCAUUCGCGCUUAGAGCACGCUGCUUCAAG